AGGUGACAACCAGUGUAAAAAUUUUGUCACACCUUUAUGAUAUGGAUUAAAAUGAUAUAAACUACCUGACAUAACAAUAUAGUAAACAAAUUAACAUAUUGAAAACUAGUUUGGCCAAAAAUCUUUGAAAUCAAAACUUGGGCUUGCAACUCGCCUCACCUGUUUUAUUUUUUUUUAGACCCUGCGAACAGUGUUAUCAAAGGCGAGCGA
Molecule: unclassified non-coding RNA, 210 nt
Filed under: Hevea brasiliensis (rubber tree)
Lineage: Eukaryota; Viridiplantae; Streptophyta; Magnoliopsida; Malpighiales; Euphorbiaceae
Source: RNAcentral